GAGCACGUAGGUGGGUUUGUAAGUCAGACGUGAAUGCCUUCUGUUCAACGGAAGAAUUGCAUCUGAAACUACAAACCUUGAGUGUAGGAGGGGAGAAUGGAACUUCUGGUGGAGCGGUGAAAUGCGUAGAUAUCAGAAGGAACGCCGGCGGCGAAAGCGAUUCUCUGGCCUAUUACUGACACUCAGUGUGCGAAAGCUAGGGGAGCAAACGGGAUUAGAUACCCCGGUAGUCCUAGCCGUAAACGAUGGGCACUAAGUAGAGGGAAUUACCGAUGUUCUCUCUGCCGUAGCUAACGCAUUAAGUGCCCCGCCUGGGGAGUACGGCCGCAAGGCUAAAACUCAAAAGAAUUGACGGGGGCUCGCACAAGCGGUGGAGCAUGUGGCUUAAUUCGAUGCAACGCGAAAAACCUUACCGGGGCUUGACAUGGUAGAAGUAGGAACCCGAAAGGGUAACGAACGGUAUCCAGUCCGUGACUAUCACAGGUGUUGCAUGGCUGUCGUCAGCUCGUGUCGUGAGACGUUGGGUUAAGUCCCCUAACGAGCGAAACCCUUGUUUUUAGUUGCCAGCGGGUUGUGCCGGGCACUCUAGAAAGACUGCCGUCGUCAAGACGGAGGAAGGUGGGGAUGACGUCAAGUCAUCAUGGCCCUUAUGCCCCGGGCUGCACACGUGCUACAAUGGCCGGUACAAACGGAAGCGAAGCCGAGAGGUGAAGCGAAUCC
Molecule: ribosomal RNA, 720 nt
Filed under: uncultured Planctomycetota bacterium
Lineage: Bacteria; Pseudomonadati; Planctomycetota
Description: bacterial SSU rRNA
Rfam family: Bacterial small subunit ribosomal RNA
Source: RNAcentral